Arachis stenosperma is the source of this 737-nucleotide long non-coding RNA. RefSeq lists it as uncharacterized. Lineage: Eukaryota; Viridiplantae; Streptophyta; Magnoliopsida; Fabales; Fabaceae. The transcript has 3 exons. The record is from RefSeq and is a predicted model, not a curated record.
UAGGAUCCAAUUAGCUUGAGAAAAACGUUCACUCUUGCUUAUGUGAAGCUUGGGUAAGGUUGAAAAUAGAUAAUUGGAGCUUGAAAUUGUGAAUACUGGAACUUGGAGGAAGCGGAUUAGUUGAGGUUUUGAGGGCUGUGUUCUUUUAGGAAAAUUUUCUUGGAAUAAUACUUGGGAAUCGACUAAGAUGCAGGUCGAGAGGCAUCUCGUUAGGCGUCUGGACUCUUGAGGCGUAGUGGUUAUUGGGAUAUUUUGUUAUGCUAUGAUGUAUAUAUAUGUACUUAGCUUUCUCUCCGCAUGACUUAUUCUUUUGAUCCUCCUAGAGGUUUAUGGAGAGACAGGAUUGUGUAUAUGUACUUUUGGGUUUUAGAUAUGUAUGUAUAUAUAUGUGUAAAUAUUUCUCCGGCCAGUCUUGACUUCGCAGGCUGAGUUAGGAGCUUGAUAUUUUGUAUCGUUGGCACUCUAUUCCCACUUCUGUUAUCUUAUGUUUGAUAGUUACGGAUUUCUUAGCACGCAAGUUAACUCGUUCCUUGAGCGUUGCGCUUUUAUCUCGCGAUUUUUAUUUCCCCUAUUCUUCAAGGCUCCUAGCAUAUUAUAAUUCUUCUGCUGUUAUAUGUAUUCAUUUUAUUUUAGAGGUCGUAAUACCACACCACCUCUGCUUUACGGCAUAAGCGUAAAGCUUAAUGUGGUAGGGUGUUACAUUAUGGUAUCAGAGCAGUUCGUUCCUAUAGAGCCUG